AUUUAAUGAAAAGCGCCAGAACUUAGAUUUCGAUCGGGAAAAGGAUCUAAGUUGACGAGGGACAGGGUUCAUCGAGUUUUCGGCGGAUGCCCUGCGGUGUAUUCACCACCGAUAGCGGAUCUACAAAACCAUGGAGCAAUCUGUGGAACAAAAUGAUCUUGGUGAAAAGGU
RNAcentral lists this non-coding RNA (171 nucleotides) under Alkaliphilus oremlandii OhILAs. Its description in RNAcentral is "glmS glucosamine-6-phosphate activated ribozyme aptamer". It matches the Rfam family "glmS glucosamine-6-phosphate activated ribozyme aptamer". Rfam says of the family: This entry contains a glucosamine-6-phosphate activated ribozyme that is found in the mRNA for GlmS. RNAcentral also lists the same sequence under 1 other name. The record is from Rfam by way of RNAcentral. Lineage: Bacteria; Bacillati; Bacillota; Clostridia; Peptostreptococcales; Natronincolaceae.